Molecule: ribosomal RNA, 447 nt
Filed under: uncultured bacterium
Lineage: Bacteria
Description: partial 16S ribosomal RNA
Rfam family: Bacterial small subunit ribosomal RNA
Source: RNAcentral
AACGAACGCUGGCGGCAGGCUUAACACAUUCAAGUCGAACGCCCCGCAAGGGGAGUGGCAGACGGGUGAGUAACGCGUGGGAAUCUACCCUGAUCUGAGGGAUAGCUCCGGGAAACUGGAAUUAAUACCGCAUAUGUCCUGAGGGACAAAGAUUGAUCGGUUCAGGAUGAGCCGGCGUCCGAUUAGCUAGUUGGUGGGGUAAAGGCCUACCAAGGCGACGAUCGGUAGCGAGUCUAAGAGGAUGAUCAGCCACAUUGGGACUGAGACACGGCCCAAACUCCUACGGGAGGCAGCAGUGGGGAAUAUUGGACAAUGGGCGCAAGCCUGAUACAGCCAUGCCGCGUGAGUGAUGAAGGUCUUAGGAUUGUAAAGCUCUUUCACCGGGGACGAUAAUGACGGUACCCGGAGAAGAAGCCCCGGCUAACUUCGUGCCAGCAGCCGCCGUAA